UUGUGACAUUAUUGUUUUUGUCUGCUUAUAGACAUUGUCGGGAAGGGGAUGGGCUCAUAGCAGGUUCUCUUUUUGGGUGGAAACUCCCAGCAGCAGCUAACGAAAUGGAGCAGGAAAGUCAAAUGGGUAAGCAGGUUUGUCUGGUUUUUGCCGUUAAUGGACAGAGGUUCCAGCUAUCUAAUGUUGAUCCUUCUAUGACUUUGCUUGAGUUCUUGCGAACCCAGACCCCUUUCAAGAGCGUCAAGCUUGGUUGUGGUGAAGGUGGUUGCGGUGCUUGUACUGUUCUGGUCUCCAAGUACGAUC
Molecule: unclassified non-coding RNA, 303 nt
Filed under: Hevea brasiliensis (rubber tree)
Lineage: Eukaryota; Viridiplantae; Streptophyta; Magnoliopsida; Malpighiales; Euphorbiaceae
Source: RNAcentral